Molecule: long non-coding RNA, 303 nt
Filed under: Phaseolus vulgaris (common bean)
Lineage: Eukaryota; Viridiplantae; Streptophyta; Magnoliopsida; Fabales; Fabaceae
Description: long non-coding RNA (PVUL_LNC002984)
Source: RNAcentral
GCCACCAGGGUCGCCUUUAGGGAACUUGAUGAAUCGGCCAGCUCCACCUUAACUUUUUCCAUGGUAGCAGCCGAGUUCUUUUACACCUUAAUCCCAAGCGCCCAGCCAAGGACAAGCGACCUACUCAUCAUCUCCACCAUUGUCGACACUAUGUCUUUUACAGGUGCAGAAAUGAUGAUCUCUUCUUCCUCGGGGGUACAUGCGACAUGCACGCCCCUAGUAAGAUGAAGUCGCUCGACCAACAGGGAGGACGACCUAGUUUCCAGUGAUGGUUGCGGAGUGGUACGCGAGGAGACCGCUCGG